UACAGAGGUCUCAAGCGUUGUUCGAAUUCAUUGGGCGUAAAGGGUGCGUAGGCGGGUCUUUAAGUCAGGGGUGAAAUCCUGGAGCUCAACUCCAGAACUGCCUUUGAUACUGAAGAUCUUGAGUUCGGGAGAGGUGAGUGGAACUGCGAGUGUAGAGGUGAAAUUCGUAGAUAUUCGCAAGAACACCAGUGGCGAAGGCGGCUCACUGGCCCGAUACUGACGCUGAGGCACGAAAGCGUGGGGAGCAAACAGG
This 253-nucleotide ribosomal RNA is filed under the name uncultured bacterium. Its description in RNAcentral is "partial 16S ribosomal RNA". It matches the Rfam family "Bacterial small subunit ribosomal RNA", at positions 524 to 776 of the family's 1533-position model. The record is from RNAcentral.